This 3161-nucleotide long non-coding RNA is filed under the name Hordeum vulgare. Its description in RNAcentral is "long non-coding RNA (HVUL_LNC016554)". Lineage: Eukaryota; Viridiplantae; Streptophyta; Magnoliopsida; Poales; Poaceae. The record is from RNAcentral.
GCAGGCAUUCCUAGGUUGAGGUUACCAUAGGAUUGACCCUCAGUCAGGCCUCCGAUUCCAAGGAGUUGAUUCAGCAAGUUCCCCGCGCUACCCCGCGGGAAGUCUAAUCGGAUCAAUCGGUGGUUCCGUAAUGAGUAGUCGAAUACACAUUGAGGGGGCCUUGCCUCCUCCUUCCCGCCCACACCUUCAUUCUUUUCCUCCUCUGAUCUUAGAAAGCAAAUCUGAAGAAUUUGCGUAGAAAUCAUAAGCAAAAAGAAUCAACUCAAAAGCUCUUACAGAACAAAAACGAAAAUUAUUUUCGUGAGCACAAAGUUUCUGUCUUUUCCAGCAUGACCAAACGAUCAUCCCCAAGACUAAUCAUAACGGUUUUGCUUGGCACAAACGCAAAAAUAAACACAAAAAACACAAUCAUAACAGAAUUAUGAAAGUGUGGAAAACACAAAACAGAAAGAAAAAGGAUAGAUUCGUUGGGUUGCCUCCCAACAAGCGCUAUUGUUUAACGCCCUUAGCUAGGCCAAAGGUGAUGGAAUCACGUAUAGUCAUCCUUGGUGCUCAAACCAUAAGUAGCCCUCAUCAUAGAUUCAUAAGGCAAUCUUAUUUUCUUUCUAGGAAAAUUCUCCAUGCCCUUCUUUAGGGAAAAUUGAAAUCUAAUAUUCCCUUCCUUCAUAUCGAUGAUAGCACCAAUAGUCCUUAGGAAAGGUCUACCAAGAAUAAUAGGACAUGAAGGAUUGCAACCUAUGUCAAGUACAAUGAAAUCCACGGGUACAUAGUUCUUAUUUGCAACAAUAAGAACAUCAACGAUCCUUCCCAUGGGUUUCUUGACAGUAGAAUCCACAAGAUGCAAAUUAAGAGAACACUCUUCAAUCUCAUGAAAACCAAGAAUAUCACAUAAAGACUUUGGAAUCGCGGAAACACUAGCACCCAAAUCACACAAAGCAUUGCAUUCAUAGUUUUUUAUCUUGAUUUUGAUAGUAGGUUCCCACUCAUCAUGAAGUUUUCUAGGUAUAGAGACUUCUAAUUCGAGCUUCUCUUCAAGAGAUUUCAUCAUAACAUCUACGAUAUGUGCGGUAAAGCCUUUGCUUUGGCUAUAAGCAUGCGGAGAGUUUGCAAUGGAUUGCAUCAAAGAGAUGCAUUCAAACAAGGAGCAACUGUAAUAAUUGAAUUCCUUGAAAUCCAAAGUGGGAGUUUCAUUACUACCCAAAUUUUUGAUUUCUUCUACUCCACUCUCCACACCUUUAUCAUCAAGAUAGGUGGACUCCGAAUCAUUGGGGCGUUUUUUAACCAAAGUGGAUUCAUACCUAGCCCAUUCAUCAAUAGGUUUGACACGCGAAAACAAAGAUUCAAGAGGAGUCACACCAAGCACUUUAAGAUCUUCGUGUUUUGCAUCACUAGAACGCACCCUUUUAAACCAUUCAUGCCUAGCGCGAAUUUGGGCGGUUCUUUCUUUGCCCUCAUUCAUGGAGACACGCAUAGCUUUUAAAGUUUCAUCCAAGUUGACCUUGGGAGGAGCACAUCUAACUUUCAAAGCAUCAAUAUCACAAGACAUCCUAUCAACGCUCAUAGCCAAAUCGUCUAUUUUGAGUAGUUUUUCCUCUAUGGACGCAUUGAAAAUCUUUUGAGAGUUGAUGAACUCUUUGAUAUUACUCUCUAAAUCAGAGGGUAAUUUUUUAUGAUUUACAUAAGUGUUGUUGUAGGAAUUGCCAUAAUUGUUAGAGGAGUUACUAGGAAAAGGCCUAGGAACAUAGUUUCCUCUAAAAGCAUUGUUGUUGCCAAAAUUAUUCCUACCAACAAAAUUAACGUCCAAACUAGCGUUACUACUCUCAAUCAAGGAAGAUAGUGGCAUGUCAUUAGGAUCUAAAGGAGCAUUUCUACUAGCAACCAAAUUCAUCAACUCGUCCAUCUUAGCACUAAGCGAGUUAAUUUCUUCUAUAGCGUGUACCUUUUUGCUAGCACGUGACCUUUCAGUGUGCCACUGAGAGUAGUUGGUCAUGAUAUUGUCUAGGAGUUUUGUAGCGUCUCCUAACGUGAUUUCCAUGAAUGUUCCACCUGAGGUGGAGUACAAGAUAUUGCGAGAAGCGAAAUUCAAACCAACAUAAAAGAUUUGUAUAAUCAUCCACAAACUCAAGCCAUGAGCGGGACAAUUUCUAAUCAUUAACUUCAUCCUCUCCCAAGAUUGUGCAACGUGUUCAUGAUCAAGUUGCUUGAAAUUCAUGAUAUUGUUAUGUAAGGAUAUAAUCUUAGCCAAUGGAAAAUACUUGGAUAUGUAAGCAUCUUUGCACUUAUCCCAAGAAUCGAUACUAUUUUUAGGAAAAGAAGAAAACCAAGUUUUUGCGCGAUCUCGCAACGAGAAAGGAAAAAGCUUCAACUUAAUCACGUCAUUGUCCACAUAUCUUUUCUUUUGCAUAUCGCAAAGCUCAAUGAAGGUAUUAAGAUGGGAUGCGGCAUCUUCACUAGGAAGGCCAGAGAAUUUCUCUUUCAUAACAAGAUUCAGCAAAGCUGUGUUGAUUUCAUACGAUUCCGCACUAGUGGCGGGAGCAAUCGGAGUACUAAUAAAAUCAUUAUUAUUGGUACUCGAGAAGUCGGAAAGUUUGGUGUUUUCAGCCAUGAUGACUUCAACAAACCAACAAGAACACAAGCAAGCAAGAAAACUAGCAAAGGAAAAAGGCAAAGGGCAAAAGAAAACGGCAAAGGAAAAAGGCAAAAAGGCAAAUGAAAACGGCAAAGGAGAAAGGCAAAUGAAAACGGCAAAUGUGAAGUGGGGGGAGGAAAACGAGAGGCAACUGGCAAAAAGGUAAAUGCAAGAUAUGAGUUUGUGACACCUACUUGGUUAGAUCUCCUCCCUGGCAACGGCGCCAGAAAACCUUCUGCUACUGCGACAACAGACCUUCCCCGGCAACGGCGCCAGAAAUCCUUCUGCUACUGCGACAACAGACCUUCCCUGGUAACGGCGCGAGGAAUCCUGCUGCUGCGGCUAUGCCUAUAGGGACUUCCUUGGCAAAUAUGCAAAGGAUUUCCCUGCGGCCUUGGAGCCUUGCGUUGGUGUUCCCUUGAAGAGGAAAGGGUGAUGUAGCACAGCGGCGGUAACUAUUUCCCUCAGUUUUGAGAACCAAGGUAUCAAUCCAGUAGGAGGAGCGUUCACAAGUACCUGCACAAACACAAAG